Molecule: ribosomal RNA, 503 nt
Filed under: uncultured bacterium
Lineage: Bacteria
Description: partial 16S ribosomal RNA
Rfam family: Bacterial small subunit ribosomal RNA
Source: RNAcentral
AUUGAACGCUGGCGGCAGGCUUAACACACGCAAGUCGAGCGGGGUGAUGGUGCUUGCACUAUCACUUAGCGGCGGACGGGUGAGUAAUGCUUAGGACUCUGCCUAUUAGUGGGGGACAACAUCUCCAAAGGGAUGCUAAUACCGCAUACGUCCUACGGGAGAAAGCAGGGGAUCACUUGUGACCUUGCGCUAAUAGAUGAGCCUCAGUCGGAUUAGCUAGUUGGUGGGGUAAAGGCCUACCAAGGCGACGAUCUGUAGCGGGUCUGAGAGGAUGAUCCGCCACACUGGGACUGAGACACGGCCCAGACUCCUACGGGAGGCAGCAGUUGGGAAUAUUGGACAAUGGGGGGAACCCUGAUCCAGCCAUGCCGCGUGUGUGAAGAAGGCCUUAUGGUUGUAAAGCACUUUAAGCGAGGAGGAGGCUCUUUUGGUUAAUACCCAAGAUGAGUGGACGUUACUCGCAGAAUAAGCACCGGCUAACUCUGUGCCAGCCGCCGCCGUAA